GUCGAGAAUCUUUCACAAUGGGGGCAACCCUGAUGGAGCGACGCCGCGUGGAGGAUAAGGUCUUCGGAUUGUAAACUCCUGUCAUGCGUGAACACGGUUGCUUGGUUAAUACCUGGGCAAAUUGAUGGUAACGCAAGAGGAAGAGACGGCUAACUCUGUGCCAGCAGCCGCGGUAAUACAGAGGUCUCAAGCGUUGUUCGGAAUCACUGGGCGUAAAGGGUGCGUAGGUGGCGUGGUAAGUCAGUUGUGAAAGCCCGGGGAUCAACUUCGGAACUGCAUCCGGUACUGCCAUUCUAGAGUUCUGGAGAGGUGACUAGAAUUCUCGGUGUAGCAUUGAAAUGCGUAGAGAUCGAGAGGAAUACCAAAGGCGUAGGAAGGUCACUGGACAGUUACUGACACUGAGGCACGAAGACCAGGGGAGCGAACGGGAUUAGAUACCCCAGUAGUCC
This 449-nucleotide ribosomal RNA is filed under the name uncultured bacterium. RNAcentral describes it as "partial 16S ribosomal RNA". It matches the Rfam family "Bacterial small subunit ribosomal RNA", at positions 354 to 796 of the family's 1533-position model. The record is from RNAcentral.